CCUACGGGUGGCAGCAGUAGGGAAUAUUGCUCAAUGGGGGAAACACUGAAGCAGCAACGCCGCGUGGAGGAUGAAGGUUUUCGGAAUGUAAACUCCUUUUGUUAGAGAAGAUAAUGCCGGUAUCCAACGCCUAAGCACCGUCUAACUCCGUGCCAGCAGCCGCGGGAAGACGGCGGGUGCCAGCGUUACACGGAAUCACUGGGCGUAAAGGGGGCGUAGGCGGGAUAGCAAGUCAGAUGUUAAAUCCUAUGGCUUAACCAUAGAACUGCAUUUGAAACUGGUAUUCUAGAGUAUGGGAGAGGUAUGUGGAAUGCUUGGUGUAGGGGUAAAAUCCGUAGAGAUCGAGAGGAAUACUCAUUGCGAAGGCGACCUGCUAGAACAUAACUGACGCUGAUGCGCGAAAGCGUGGGGAGCAAACAGGAUUAGAUACCCGUGUAGUC
Molecule: ribosomal RNA, 440 nt
Filed under: uncultured bacterium
Lineage: Bacteria
Description: partial 16S ribosomal RNA
Rfam family: Bacterial small subunit ribosomal RNA
Source: RNAcentral